GGAACUGGGUGCAGACAGCCUCACAGAAGAUGAAGAAACUGAAGUCUACAGGGUAUAGUUUGAUGCCACUUAGAAAGCUAUAAUGCUGACUGGAAAUGAGGAUCUUCCACAAAGUCCUAGGCAGAAUGAAGAGACCAGACUCAUGAGUUUGACAUUAAAAGAGAAGAAUCCUGCAAGAGUUAGAUUGAGAGAGCAAUGCACACACCCUCCUAACUUUAAAGCAUAGAGAGUACAAGACAUCUCAUGCUGAGGUAACUGCAGCAUGCAGCUCUGCCUGGGACAGACCUCAGCAAGUGUCUCUCACAGCACAGCUAAAGCACCUUGUCAUGGGAUGACUCAUAACAUUAGGCAAACCGAGAAUUCUUGGAAAGUUAUUUCUGAAGGAAUAUCCACAUUUUAAUGUCUUUAAAUGAAAC
This is a long non-coding RNA of Chiroxiphia lanceolata (lance-tailed manakin), 416 nucleotides long. RefSeq lists it as uncharacterized. NCBI's taxonomy places the organism in Eukaryota, Metazoa, Chordata, Aves, Passeriformes, Pipridae. The record is from RefSeq and is a predicted model, not a curated record. The transcript has 3 exons.